GUGCUCGCUUCGGCAGCACAUAUACUAAAAAUUGGAACGAUACAGAAGAUUAGCAUGGUCCCUGCUCAAGGAUGACACGCAAAUUCAUGAAGCGUUCCAUAUUAAA
This 106-nucleotide small nuclear RNA is filed under the name Castor canadensis (American beaver). Lineage: Eukaryota; Metazoa; Chordata; Mammalia; Rodentia; Castoridae. The record is from RNAcentral.